Mastomys coucha (southern multimammate mouse) is the source of this 618-nucleotide long non-coding RNA. RefSeq lists it as uncharacterized. The record is from RefSeq and is a predicted model, not a curated record. The transcript is spliced from 4 exons. NCBI's taxonomy places the organism in Eukaryota, Metazoa, Chordata, Mammalia, Rodentia, Muridae.
CUGAGAACUUCAAUCUUGCAAUGUUGAGAAAAUCAGCAACUAAGAUGCUAUUAGGAAUCCCAAAGCCAGGGAACAGCUCCAGGCAGAACAGAUGACUACCUCCUGCUCGUAGAGAGGACAGUGUUGGUAGAGAGUGCUGCCUAGGAGCUCAAAGCCCAUCAGAGACCACAGCUGGAAUUCCAGCCCUUAACCAGACUCCUGUGCUGAAGUUAGUUCUUUGGAGCUCCUAUACCCCCAACUACAGGGAAUGAUUUCCCAUGCUGCUUAAACAGACAAGUGCAAUACAGCCUCACCUCACAUACUGAUGCAAAACUCAAAGAGGAGAAGAACAUGCUGGUACAGUGAGAUUCUCAGCUGUGCUGGGGAAAUGAACAUUUCCACAGGAAUUCAAUGUAUAAUUCAACAUAAAAGUAUUGUUCUCCACUAUACUUGAUGAUGACCCAAAACAACAAUAUGAUUGACAUCAGUUCUGAGGGAGCUGGAGGAAUCAAUCUAGGAAGAAAGACAGAGACAAGCAGAGACAGAGAGGAGAUAGAAGGAAGAAUGGGAGUGGCAAGAAGAACUCAUAUUUUUCAAUCUCAAACACUGGGAAAUAAAAGAAUGAUGAUACCAUCAAGA